AGCUUUGCGCAGUGACAGUAUCGUAGCCAACGUGGUUUAUCUGAGGCGCGAUUAUUGCUAAUUGAAAACCUUUCCCAAAAUUAUGACAAAUGCUUGAUAUCAAAGCAUCUGUGACACAAAUUCAUACCUCAAUAAAAUAA
Molecule: non-coding RNA, 140 nt
Organism: Fukomys damarensis (Damara mole-rat)
Lineage: Eukaryota; Metazoa; Chordata; Mammalia; Rodentia; Bathyergidae
Source: Rfam